This 253-nucleotide ribosomal RNA is filed under the name uncultured bacterium. RNAcentral describes it as "partial 16S ribosomal RNA". It matches the Rfam family "Bacterial small subunit ribosomal RNA", at positions 524 to 776 of the family's 1533-position model. The record is from RNAcentral.
UACGUAGGGUGCAAGCGUUAUCCGGAAUUAUUGGGCGUAAAGAGCUCGUAGGCGGCUUGUUGCGUCGACUGUGAAAACCCGCGGCUUAACCGCGGGCUUGCAGUUGAUACGGGCAGACUAGAGUGCUGUAGGGGAGACUGGAAUUCCUGGUGUAGCGGUGAAAUGCGCAGAUAUCAGGAGGAACACCGGUGGCGAAGGCGGGUCUCUGGGCAUUACCUGACGCUGAGGAGCGAAAGUGUGGGGAGCGAACAGG